GUUUGCCUUAGUGGUAACAAGCUCAGCCUCUACUGAUUUUUGCUUCUAGUAACUUUUGUAUUUGCUCCCUCGCAGGUUUUUACCUGAGGCUUUGUUUACCUUGCUGAGACCCGACUUCGUUCCAGAGACACGGACCAAGCUGGCGGCUUCCCGCUUCCUUCAACUCCAAGACCAAGGCGUAAGCGUACCCUGUUCAACCCUCCAUCGCAAGCAUCGGCACCUGUGCUUCAUCUGGUUUGCACCAAACCAGCAGCAGAGAAGACAACUGAACAACCUCACUUCGCAAGCUAAGACUCUGAAUCUCUCUACCCCUGGUGGUUCAAGCAACAGCAAUUUAUUGGUGUUUCCAGUUCUCAUCCCUGAUUACUUUGCUGACAAAAACACGUUAAACUUUACUUCUGAGUGUUUUCUGUAUGUGGGUCAGAACUGUGUUGAAACUGACAAAGGGAAGUGGAAGGUUCAAACCCCAUGUUUU
Molecule: long non-coding RNA, 475 nt
Organism: Girardinichthys multiradiatus
Lineage: Eukaryota; Metazoa; Chordata; Actinopteri; Cyprinodontiformes; Goodeidae
Exons: 3
Source: RefSeq, a predicted model, not a curated record